Molecule: unclassified non-coding RNA, 247 nt
Filed under: Hevea brasiliensis (rubber tree)
Lineage: Eukaryota; Viridiplantae; Streptophyta; Magnoliopsida; Malpighiales; Euphorbiaceae
Source: RNAcentral
AUCAAUUUGUUUCCAUGAACUCGUUCAAGUUCGGCAAAGAAGAGGUUGGAAGGAGCUUGGCUACGUGCAAUUUGGGCUUAUGCUGUACCUCAUUUUUGCUGUUCCUACUACACUGUUAAGCUACAAAUAAUUGCCCGGCUUAGGGACCAAUAAUUUUUGUUGAUCCCUCCAUUUUACCACUAGUCCUCCCUCAUUAAUUGUCCGAUAAAAGGGAAGGGACAAAAAGUGAAAAAGAAAAAAAACUGAU